Molecule: long non-coding RNA, 1601 nt
Organism: Corapipo altera (White-ruffed manakin)
Lineage: Eukaryota; Metazoa; Chordata; Aves; Passeriformes; Pipridae
Exons: 4
Source: RefSeq, a predicted model, not a curated record
CUUAGGGAAGAGUAUAGGAGCAGGGCAUCCUGUUCCACUGGAUGAAGACACACCCUUCCAUGGAUUGGUGCUUUAGAAACUUGUGGAGCCAAAGUAUGCACCCAGACUCUGUGGUGAGUUGAAAUCAAAGGACAUGAUCUCUGUGAGUUUUUCUAGUCCUUUCUUGACCUCAGUUGUGCUCCUGCCCACCCCACUAUUCAAUGGCAAGAAGUUCCACACUGUAAUUUUGUGUCAUUGAUUAACCCCAGCUGCAGUGGAUACCGGAGGCUCAAGUUUCCUCAUCUCAGAGGCUUUCAAGAUCCUCAGCUUUGCUGGUCGCUUGUGUGUGUUGAGAUGGAGUGAGUGGGUAACCACGAAGACACUGAGUUUUCACAUACAGCAAGAGCAGCUGAGAUCCAGGAGGAAAGCAAUCAUGUGGCCAAAUGCAGGACAGCUGGUGGGAAUGAAGAUGAGUGAAAUAGAAAUUCCCAGAACUGCAGGGAAAGCAGAAGUCAAACAGGGACAAAUCUUCAAAUUCUUUGCCUUAAAGCUCCAGUGGAGGCAAUGGAAAGUUUCAAAUACAAAAGGAUUCAGACACAUGGGGAUUCAGUGCCUGGUUUUGUAUAGGUCCUGCUGUGCCAAGUUACUAUGACUGCUGGCUGCCCUGCACAAGGUGGGAUGAAGGGAUUUGCUCGCCCCUUCCUGGUGGGCUCAGCAACACCUUAUGCCCAGCCCCUCAUGGAGAUAUCGGCCGCCUUGGGUCACAUCACCUGGAACACCUUGGCAGUGUGCACAAGGAACCCAAAACAUCAUGUGGAGUGGGUAAUAUUCAAAUUUACAGCAUGUGCCUGGGGAAGGCGGCAUCUCUGAGCUGCCCUGCUCUCCCCUGGGUGUCAUGGGUUUUUGAGAGAUUUGGUGGCUUCCCUCACAGCUGCCCACAGGGCGGGCAGAGGGGGAGAGCCCAGGGUCCUACCUGGGCUGGUUCUGAAGGAGGGAGGGGUCUUGGGACCUUUAGACCAACGGAGCAAAGUCACCCACGUGUGAAACUGGGGAAGCCAAGCAAGAGCCCCUCUGCUGUGGAGUGGGGAAUGUCUUGCUCAGCAGUGAUUUGCCCACUGGGGAAUGGAAAACUCUCAUUAUUUAUAUAUUUUGGUCAGUGGAAGAGAGGGUCACACCCACCCAUCUCAUUAGUAUAAGAAAGCAUUGACAACACCAUAAUCCCCAGCUUCCCUUCUCCCAUGCUUCUCUAGCACACCUGAUCCUGUGCCAGGGGGUUUAAUAGGUUACCCUGCAAAACCUGGGACCAUGGUGCCAUGCAAGGUUGCAUAUUCCCAGGAAGUGCUUGUGCACAGAGCCGUAACAGAUGUGGACUAAGGAGGGAUGGCCCUGGCCAGCAGUGGUGAGAGGUGUUAAUAUCGCUGGGGAAGGUGAAAACAUAAUUGAAACCGUUUAUUUUGGGGGCUGUGCAGGGCUGAAUGAGGCGAUACCUUCUGAGCAAAAAAUACUUGUAAUUCGCCUGUCCUGAUCUUACAGACUUUUAAUUUGCUCUACAAAUUUGGCUUGUUGGAGAAUGUGUAAACACCCAGAACUGUACAGGGCAACCCAUUAAACAUUAACUUACU